UAAACGAGGUACGCUGGUCUGAAGCAUGCUGAGGAUUUUUUUCCAAAUCAGUACAACAUCCAGACAUCAAAAUAGGUGCCAAAAAACGGGUCGCAGCCCAUCGACAGGAGACAUCUGCAACCGGAGGAGGACAGGCUACCAUGCAGCUGUCAGCGAUGGAUACCCGUGUUGCCAGCAUCAUCGGGGACACAGCACUGUGUGGUCUAAUUCCCGGAGGAGACACAAACACACUCCCACCAGCUGUACCAUCAACAAGUCACUGCAGCCAGUCCAGCCUGCGCUCAGGAGCUGGAGGAGGAGCUGGAGGCGGAGGAGGAGCUGGAGGCGGAGGAGGAGCCGGAGGCGGAGGAGGA
This is a long non-coding RNA of Cololabis saira (Pacific saury), 353 nucleotides long. RefSeq lists it as uncharacterized. The transcript has 3 exons. The record is from RefSeq and is a predicted model, not a curated record. NCBI's taxonomy places the organism in Eukaryota, Metazoa, Chordata, Actinopteri, Beloniformes, Belonidae.